GAAGAUCUCCACCUGCUCACAUCUCAUCCUUCUUGUAGCUGGCUGAGUAUUUAGCAAAGGCAAGUGACAAGAAUCAGAUAUUCAAAACCUUCCAGGCUCGUGUAUGCAGCGUCAGUUUUUAUGUGAGCGGGAGACUUCUCCAGCAGACCCUUCCCCACACCUGCUUUCAAGCUCUUGCCUUCCUCUGCCACUUUCCUGCCUGUCCUGUUCCAGAGUUCCUCCACAACAGAGCUGCAGCCUUCCCAAGGCUCAACCAUGCUCCUGGAGCUCCUCCCAGUGCUGGGGAUACACUUUCUCCUGAGAGAUGCCCAAGCUCAGUCAGUGACUCAGCCUGAUGCUCGUGUCACUGUCUCUGAAGGAGCCUCUCUGCAGCUGAGAUGCAAUUAUUCCACCUCUGGGACACCUUAUCUGUUCUGGUAUGUCCAGUACCCGCGGCAGGGGCUGCAGCUGCUCCUCAAGUACUAUUCAGGAGACCAAGUGGUUCAAGGACUGAAUGACUUUGAGGCUGAGUUCAGCAAGAGUGACUCUUCCUUCCACCUGCGGAAAGCCGCCGUGCACUGGAGCGACUCGGCUGUGUACUUCUGUGCUCUGAGAGCACAGUGUGUUGGGCUGAAGGGGGAGCCGAACACAAACACCCAUGGUCGUGGGUGCUCAGACUCAGGAUCUCUCCUUGUGGUCUCUGUGGCAUCUCUUUUGACUUGGCAAGAAGGGGGAAGUUGCUCAGUACCCACCCACUGCCUUUGCACAGCUCAUUUCCAGCUGGAAUACCCACUGCCUGACUUCAUCUCAGAAGCUCUUUGCAUAUUUUCAAAAUUAUAUAAUGCUCAUAAUUCUUUAGGAUGGAGGAGACUGUCAUUUUCCCACGAGAACCUUUUCCUGAGUGGGCAUUGCUGGGCCAGUGACUACACUGAUCAGUGACAAGCAGCUGAUCGUGUCUGUGAGGAGAGACUAGGAGCUUUCAUUUGUCAUUUCAUGUGUCUACACAGAAAGUGAAAGGUGCGCUCUGCAGCCUUCAUCCUGACGUUUGCCUUCACUGCUGUCUUUCAUGCUGAUUUUCCUAUAAAUUCUUCUUCUAGUGCUAAUUCCACUGAUCAGAAUUGACCGCAAUAUACAGGAGCCUAGCAUAGCAGUCUUCUAAGAGACUCCA
This is a non-coding RNA of Mus pahari (shrew mouse), 1147 nucleotides long. The record is from the annotation of a RefSeq genome assembly. NCBI's taxonomy places the organism in Eukaryota, Metazoa, Chordata, Mammalia, Rodentia, Muridae.